Molecule: ribosomal RNA, 465 nt
Filed under: uncultured bacterium
Lineage: Bacteria
Description: partial 16S ribosomal RNA
Rfam family: Bacterial small subunit ribosomal RNA
Source: RNAcentral
GACGAACGCUGGCGGCGUGCUUAACACAUGCAAGUCGAACGGAAAGGCCCUGCUUGCAGGGUACUCGAGUGGCGAACGGGUGAGUAACACGUGGGUGAUCUGCCCUUCACUUCGGGAUGAGCCUGGGAAACUGGGUCUAAUACCGGAUAGGAGCCAUUUUUAGUGUGAUGGUUGGAAAGUUUUUUCGGUGUAGGAUGAGCUCGCGGCCUAUCAGCUUGUUGGUGGGGUAAUGGCCUACCAAGGCGGCGACGGGUAGCCGGACUGAGAGGGUGGAAGGCCACACUGGGACAGAGACACGGCCCAGACACCGACCGGAGGCAGCAGUGGGGAAUAUUGAACAAUGGGCGCAAGCCUGAUGCAGCGACGCCGCGGGGGGGAGGACGGCCUUCGGGUUGUAAACUCCUUUCGCUAGGGACGAAGCUUUUUGUGACGGUACCUAGAUAAGAAGCACCGGCUAACUACGUG